CCCUAUGGGGUGCAGCAGGCGAGAAAACUUUGCAAUGUGCGAAAGCACGACAAGGUUAAUCCGAGUGGUUUCUGCUAAAGAAACCUUUUGUCAGUCCUAGAAACACUGAUGAAUAAGGGGUGGGCAAGUUCUGGUGUCAGCCGCCGCGGUAAAACCAGCACCUCAAGUGGUCAGGAUGAUUAUUGGGCCUAAAGCAUCCGUAGCCGGCUCUGUAAGUUUUCGGUUAAAUCUGUACGCUCAACGUACAGGCUGCCGGGAAUACUGCAGAGCUAGGGAGUGGGAGAGGUAGACGGUACUCGGUAGGAAGGGGUAAAAUCCUUUGAUCUAUUGAUGACCACCUGUGGCGAAGGCGGUCUACCAGAACACGUCCGACGGUGAGGGAUGAAAGCUGGGGGAGCAAACCGGAUUAGAUACCCGGGUAGUCCCAGCUGUAAACUAUGCAAACUCAGUGAUGCAUUGGCUUGUGGCCAAUGCAGUGCUGCAGGGAAGCCGUUAAGUUUGCCGCCUGGGAAGUACGUACGCAAGUAUGAAACUUAAAGGAAUUGGCGGGGGAGCACCACAAGGGGUGAAGCCUGCGGUUCAAUUGGAGUCAACGCCAGAAAUCUUACCCGGAGAGACAGCAGAAUGGAGGUCAAGCUGAAGACUUUACCAGACAAGCUGAGAAGAAGUGCAUGGCC
RNAcentral lists this ribosomal RNA (677 nucleotides) under uncultured archaeon. RNAcentral's name for it is "bacterial SSU rRNA". It matches the Rfam family "Archaeal small subunit ribosomal RNA", at positions 321 to 999 of the family's 1478-position model. The record is from RNAcentral.